Molecule: non-coding RNA, 369 nt
Organism: Lepisosteus oculatus (spotted gar)
Lineage: Eukaryota; Metazoa; Chordata; Actinopteri; Semionotiformes; Lepisosteidae
Source: RefSeq, a predicted model, not a curated record
GGAAGGAAUGGUGCACGAUGUGGCUCGCUUAAGACGCUGCUUGGCCGAUUUCGGAUUUUUAACAGCGCCUCCGGGAACAGGAAGAGCUGUUUGAAAGAACGAUCGCGCCUGCCAGAAGAAGCUGGCAGGGGUGUCUGCACAAGCUCAGAACAAGACAUUCUGCCAAAUACUAAUCCCAAAGAAACAGAAUAUUAGGCUGUUGCUAUAUCCCAUACCUUAUCAUUACCAAUUGCUGAGACAACCUUCUAACACUUUGGAAUCAGAAUGGUGCAAUGUGUUGGAUGAAGUAGAAAAGCAGCUGCCCACCUCACUGAUGGCGGCGUUGUCCUCCUCUCCUGGCCUCACCAGCCUGUUCCCGGUGAGCUUCAU